UACGUAGGGGGCAAGCGUUGUCCGGAUUUAUUGGGCGUAAAGAGCGUGUAGGCGGUCUGGUAGGUCCGUUGUGAAAACUCGAGGCUCAACCUCGAGACGCCGAUGGAAACCAUCAGACUAGAGUCCGGAAGAGGAGAGUGGAAUUCCUGGUGUAGCGGUGAAAUGCGCAGAUAUCAGGAAGAACACCCGUGGCUAAGGCGGCUCUCUAGUACGGUACUGACGCUGAGACGCGAAAGCGCGGGGAGCGAACAGG
RNAcentral lists this ribosomal RNA (253 nucleotides) under uncultured bacterium. RNAcentral describes it as "partial 16S ribosomal RNA". It matches the Rfam family "Bacterial small subunit ribosomal RNA", at positions 524 to 776 of the family's 1533-position model. The record is from RNAcentral.